GAUGAACGCUAGCUACAGGCUUAACACAUGCAAGUCGAGGGGUAACGAGAGGAAAGCUUGCUUUCCUUGUCGACGACCGGCGCACGGGUGAGUAACGCGUAUCCAACCUGCCCCCAACUAAGGAAUAACCUUGCGAAAGUAAGACUAAUACCUUAUAAUUUCCUCAGAUGGAAUCUGACGAGGAAUAAAGAUUUAUCGGUUGUUGAGGGGGAUGGGUCUGAUUAGCUUGUUGGCGGGGUAACGGCCCACCAAGGCAACAAUCAGUAGGGGUUCUGAGAGGAAGGUCCACCACAUUGGAACUGAGACACGGUCCAAACUCCUACGGGAGGCAGCAGUGAGGAAUAUUGGUCAAUGGGCGAAAGCCUGAACCAGCCAAGUAGCGUGCAGGAUGACGGCCCUAUGGGUUGUAAACUGCUUUUAUACAGGAAUAAAGUUAGCCACGUGUGGUUAUUUGUAGGUACUGUAUGAAUAAGGACAGGCUAACUACGUGCCAGCAGCCGCAGUAA
RNAcentral lists this ribosomal RNA (506 nucleotides) under uncultured bacterium. RNAcentral describes it as "partial 16S ribosomal RNA". It matches the Rfam family "Bacterial small subunit ribosomal RNA", at positions 28 to 523 of the family's 1533-position model. The record is from RNAcentral.